RNAcentral lists this unclassified non-coding RNA (340 nucleotides) under soil metagenome. Its description in RNAcentral is "partial contains 5.8S ribosomal RNA, internal transcribed spacer 2, and large subunit ribosomal RNA". The stretch from base 1 to 120 matches the Rfam family "5.8S ribosomal RNA", at positions 35 to 154 of the family's 154-position model. The record is from RNAcentral.
GAUGAAGAACGUAGCGAAAUGCGAUAAGUAGUGUGAAUUGCAGAAUUCAGUGAAUCAUCGAAUCUUUGAACGCACAUUGCGCCCUUUGGUAUUCCAAAGGGCAUGCCUGUUCGAGCGUCAUUUGUACCCUCAAGCUUUGCUUGGUGUUGGGCGUCUUGUCUCUAGCUUUGCUGGAGACUCGCCUUAAAGUAAUUGGCAGCCGGCCUACUGGUUUCGGAGCGCAGCACAAGUCGCACUCUCUAUCAGCAAAGGUCUAGCAUCCAUUAAGCCUUUUUUUCAACUUUUGUCCUCGGAUCAGGUAGGGAUACCCGCUGAACUUAAGCAUAUCAAUAAGCGGGGA